UACGGAGGGGGCUAGCGUUGUUCGGAAUUACUGGGCGUAAAGCGCACGUAGGCGGACUGUUAAGUCGGGGUGAAAUCCUGGGGCUCAACCUCAGAAUUGCCUCCGAUACUGGCAGUCUCGAGUGCGGGAGAGGUGAGUGGAAUUCCCAGUGUAGAGGUGAAAUUCGUAGAUAUUGGGAAGAACACCAGUGGCGAAGGCGGCUCACUGGCCCGUAACUGACGCUGAGGUGCGAAAGCGUGGGGAGCAAACAGG
RNAcentral lists this ribosomal RNA (252 nucleotides) under uncultured bacterium. RNAcentral describes it as "partial 16S ribosomal RNA". It matches the Rfam family "Bacterial small subunit ribosomal RNA", at positions 524 to 776 of the family's 1533-position model. The record is from RNAcentral.